GACGUAGGGUGCGAGCGUUGUCCGGAUUUAUUGGGCGUAAAGAGCUCGUAGGCGGCUCGUCGCGUCGACCGUGAAAACCCGCGGCUUAACUGCGGGCUUGCGGUUGAUACGGGCGGGCUAGAGUUCGGUAGGGGAGACUGGAAUUCCUGGUGUAGCGGUGAAAUGCGCAGAUAUCAGGAGGAACACGUGGUGGCAAGGCAGCUCGCUGGGGACGUGACUGACGCUGAGACGCGAAAGCGUGGGGAGCAAACAGG
Molecule: ribosomal RNA, 254 nt
Filed under: uncultured bacterium
Lineage: Bacteria
Description: partial 16S ribosomal RNA
Rfam family: Bacterial small subunit ribosomal RNA
Source: RNAcentral